RNAcentral lists this unclassified non-coding RNA (215 nucleotides) under plant metagenome. Its description in RNAcentral is "partial contains small subunit ribosomal RNA, internal transcribed spacer 1, and 5.8S ribosomal RNA". The record is from RNAcentral.
UCUCCGUUGGUGAACCAGCGGAGGGAUCAUUACCGAGUUUACAACUCCCAGACCCCUGUGAACAUACCUGUUUUGUUGCUUCGGCGGUGCCCUCGCUCUCGCGGCGAGGCCCGCCAGAGGACCCAAACAAACUCUUUGACUUUGAUCUAGGAUUAUACUUCUGAGUGAUACAAAAAAUAAAACCAAAACUUUCAACAACGGAUCUCUUGGUUCUG